GGGGCCAGAGCUGGGGCGUCUGCUUUGCAUGCAGAAGGUCCCGGGUUCAAGUCCUGGCAUCUCCA
This is a non-coding RNA of Podarcis lilfordi (Lilford's wall lizard), 65 nucleotides long. The record is from the annotation of a GenBank genome assembly. NCBI's taxonomy places the organism in Eukaryota, Metazoa, Chordata, Lepidosauria, Squamata, Lacertidae.